UGGGGAAUAUUGGACAAUGGGCGAAAGCCUGAUCCAGCCAUGCCGCGUGUGUGAAGAAGGUCUUCGGAUUGUAAAGCACUUUAAGUUGGGAGGAAGGGCAUUAACCUAAUACGUUAGUGUUUUGACGUUACCGACAGAAUAAGCACCGGCUAACUCUGUGCCAGCAGCCGCGGUAAUACAGAGGGUGCAAGCGUUAAUCGGAAUUACUGGGCGUAAAGCGCGCGUAGGUGGUUUGUUAAGUUGGAUGUG
This 249-nucleotide ribosomal RNA is filed under the name uncultured bacterium. RNAcentral describes it as "partial 16S ribosomal RNA". It matches the Rfam family "Bacterial small subunit ribosomal RNA", at positions 355 to 596 of the family's 1533-position model. RNAcentral also lists the same sequence under 1 other name. The record is from RNAcentral.